Rattus norvegicus (Norway rat) is the source of this 104-nucleotide small nuclear RNA. Lineage: Eukaryota; Metazoa; Chordata; Mammalia; Rodentia; Muridae. The record is from Ensembl.
GUUCUUUCCACAGUAUAUAUACUAACACCGGAACAAAACAGAGAUGAAUAACAUGGCCCCUGAACAAGGAAAACACCCAAAUUCAUGAAGCAUUCCAUAUUUUU